This 253-nucleotide ribosomal RNA is filed under the name uncultured bacterium. Its description in RNAcentral is "partial 16S ribosomal RNA". It matches the Rfam family "Bacterial small subunit ribosomal RNA", at positions 524 to 776 of the family's 1533-position model. The record is from RNAcentral.
AACGUAGGGGACAAGCGUUAUCCGGAUUUACUGGGCGUAAAGCGCCCGUAGGCGGCUUGAUAAGUUGGACGUGAAAGCUCCCGGCUUAACUGGGAGAGGCCGUUCAAAACUGACAGGCUAGAGUGAGGAAGAGGAGAGCGGAAUUCCCGGUGUAGUGGUGGAAUGCGUAGAUAUCAGGAGGAACACCGAUGGCGAAGGCAGCUCUCUGGGACGGUACUGACGCUGAGACGCGAAAGCGUGGGGAGCGAACAGG